This 253-nucleotide ribosomal RNA is filed under the name uncultured bacterium. RNAcentral describes it as "partial 16S ribosomal RNA". It matches the Rfam family "Bacterial small subunit ribosomal RNA", at positions 524 to 776 of the family's 1533-position model. The record is from RNAcentral.
GACGUAGGAUGCAAGCGUUGUCCGGAUUUAUUGGGCGUAAAGAGUUCGUAGGUGGUUUGUUAAGUCUGAUGUUAAAGACUGGGGCUCAACCUCGGAAAUGCAUUGGAUACUGGCAGACUUGAGUGUGGUAGAGGCAAGCGGAAUUCCAGGUGUAGCGGUGAAAUGCGUAGAUAUCUGGAAGAACACCGGUGGCGCAAGCGGCUUGCUGGGCCAUAACUGACACUGAGGAACGAAAGCUAGGGGAGCGAACAGG